AAAGCAUCUUAAACAGGUCGUGGCCUCUGAGCAGUAGGCCAGGAUUUGGUAGCUGGUGCUAACAUCAAUUCUCUCUCGCAACUCUCCUGCUAGCAACUGGUUUCUUUCUGGGACUUUACUGGGAGAGAAACAAAC
RNAcentral lists this small nucleolar RNA (135 nucleotides) under Labrus bergylta (ballan wrasse). Its description in RNAcentral is "Small nucleolar RNA SNORA30/SNORA37 family (ENSLBEG00000022949.1)". The record is from RNAcentral. Lineage: Eukaryota; Metazoa; Chordata; Actinopteri; Labriformes; Labridae.